Molecule: ribosomal RNA, 350 nt
Filed under: uncultured Coriobacteriales bacterium
Lineage: Bacteria; Bacillati; Actinomycetota; Coriobacteriia; Coriobacteriales
Description: bacterial SSU rRNA
Rfam family: Bacterial small subunit ribosomal RNA
Source: RNAcentral
AGUAGUUUGAUCCGUGGCUCAGACAACGCUGGCGGCGUGCUUAACACAUGCAAGUCGAACGGGGAUACUUGCGGAAAGCCUUCGGGCCGGAAGCGGGUAUUCGAGUGGCGGACGGGUGAGUAACGCGUGAACAAUCUGUCCCAGACAGGGGGAUAACACUUGGAAACAGGUGCUAAUACCGCAUAAGACCACAGUAUCGCAUGGUACAGAGGUAAAAGGAGCAAUCCGGUUUGGGGUGAGUUCGCGUCCGAUUAGAUAGUUGGUGAGGUAACGGCCCACCAAGUCUGCGAUCGGUAGCCGAUCUGAGAGGAUGACCGGCCACAUUGGAACUGAGAGACGGUCCAAACUCC